AAUUGUCGUAAAUCGAUGCGCGUAUGAGACAUGAGGAUAGAAAGGGUUUGAACCCUAUAGGGGUCGGCGGUUCCUUCUCUCCCGCCUCGACCACCUCCUUUUGUCUCUCCUUUUUCCCAAUUUUUUUUUUUUUUUAGGGUUUCCGCCAUUAAACAUUAAAGAAGCUACAGGGGAAGCCGUCCCCGGUUCAAGAAUGCUAUGAUUCGUUCCUUGCUGUUCCGUGUUCACCAUCUUGGAGAUUUCCAUCUUUUGCGGUGUAAUCUUCUUGCUUCUUCCGGAAAGAGAUGAACUCGGCCAUGGCGUUAGCGUCGGUUCCUGUGGCCUUUGGUUCCCUCCCAAAAAUGAGUACUUUGGGCUUUUUCUUUGCCCCCAUCAAAUGCUUCUUUUUGGGUUCAGUCGUCAGGUUAUUUUUUCCCUUUUUCUGAUUGUAGGAUGAAGCUUGGAUACGGGGUUCAAGUAGAAGAGAUGUUAGAGGUCUCGGGGUAUAAUUUGCCGAUAAAAGCAUGGAUAAGGGGCUUGCAAUUUGCCGAUAAAAGGAUGUCAAAAUCCGAGAAAAAGGAUUAUGUUGGAGGUCUUGGGGUAUAAAGUAUUAGUAGCAAAAGAAACUGGUUUGAAAAUAUUUAACAUCAAAAGUCCAAAAAUAUUAACCUUGAUAAGGGAUAUUGAUGCUAUAGAAUAUUUUCAUAUGCUUUUCGGUACCAAUUAUUAACCUUACCCUUCGACGACAGCUUCCUAAUGAUGAGUAUCUUUAAGAGUUCAGCACUCUACUAAUACUUGUGUUUAUCCUGUUUAUACUUGAGCAUAUUUCUCAUACUCAUUUGGUCUUAGAAUAAGUUUAUUUUUCCUUUUUUUUUUUUUGAGAAGAAAGAUGGGCUAUUCAUCAGUUCAUUCUGGAGCAUGUAUUUCUUGCAAGUUACAAGUGUCACAUGACCUAUCCUCUUAUACUGGAUACCUCUAUGAUUAGUUCAGUAAAACCAUGAAUCAGACAUCAAUAUCCCUGGUCAACAAAGUUGAACCAAUACCUUCCUGGAGAUUCCUGCAAAUAAAUGCUAAGUGCCAUUGUCUCGUGCCUGUUAGGUUGCGAGGGAGCUUUCAAAUUUAGUAUUUCUUUCUUUGAAGUAUGUAAUUUAUGAACAAAAGAAAAUCUUUAAUCCCUUUUUUGGUUUGGUUUAUAGAUUUUGCUCAGCUGAUGCUGACCCUGUCAUAUUUGUUUUAAAUUGCAUAAUUAAUAAUGAUACCAGACAGCACUGUGCUGUUCUGGUUAUCUGAUGAGAUAUCACCUUGUUUUUUUCUCCCAUUAUUUAUUUUGCCAGUUUUAAUUUUCUUUCAACUUGCUCUCUCUCCAGAUCUGUACUCUCUGCACUUUCAGCUAAGCAAUAUGCUAUAUGGGAUCUCAGAAUGUCAUAAAUCUUGGUGUUCCUUUCCUUGUGUAAUAAAUGCGAUGGCUGGCCAAGCUGGUGGACCUGAGAAACUGGACAUUGAUGGCAUAGUCAGUCAACUAAGAAAUUUAUCAGACAGAUUUUCCUUAACCAAUUAAGAGUUUCCCAUGGACCAAAGUGAUGAUCAACUUUUGCCCACUUGUUGUUGAACUCCCUUGGGCACCUGCAAAGUAUCUUUGUAUACCACUGCUGGCUAUUAUGUCAUUAAGUGAGAUGUCAUACUGUGCUCAUGAAAGGAGGAUGGUUCUCGUACCCAUCCCCUUUCUUUCUCUGUUUGCUAUAGCUGGAAUCUUGAAGGAUACAGCAACAGAACUUUCACUAGAUCUCAAGGAAGGAGGAUUUCCAGGGCAUCUACUUUUGAUUGUAAUUUUCUUUAUGUUGCUAAAAUUGCCUAGCCCAUAUCAUCCAUACUGGGCGCCUGAUCAUUCCUCAUUUUGCAAAUGGUGUUAUGGAGGAUUUUCUGGUUAGCACUGUGGUAUAGAGUAAGGUACGCCAUAUCGGCCCGAAUCAAACAGUACAAGGCGUACAGUACCGUACUGGUUCGGUACCAGUAUUCGGUUAUGGGUGGCAUACCAAUACUCGAUAUGCCAAAAAAAUUUCGUACCGUACCGACGUUGUGCUAGUGUGGUACCGGUAUGGGUUCAGCACCGAGACGGUGAACCUUGGUAUAGAGUGCCUCAAGGGACACGUGAGAUGGCAUUGGAGGAAUCUGUAGCUGACAAUCUCUCUGAAGAAAAGAAAUAACAAUCUCUCCUGCAACAAAAGCAGUCAAACAAUUGCUUUUUUCUGACAGUUCUGUAGGUCCAUGCUCUUAUAGGUAAAAGUGGCCAAUUACCAUUCCUUUUUACUUACAUGUGGCUGGGGUCUACAAAAAUGAGAUGCCAGGUUGGGCUGCAGAACAUGAGAGGUGUGUGGUACAUGGGGUGUAAACCUACAGAGAUGCACACUAAGCAAUGCUCUUGGUAUGUAUUUAUGACAACAUUAAACCAUGAUUUGCUUUAAUCUACACCAUUCUUAAGAGGUGCUCCCGGUGGGAGGUCUCAUCUCUUUGUUACAGCUGAAUUCCUACUUCUCAAUAUCGUUGUCCUGCUUAUCUAAUUAAUAAAAUCCAUGCUUUUUUGAAAGUUCAUCAUCGUUCAUGCCUCUUAGCUCUGUCCUUGGGCAAACCUUUUUCAGCAAAGUCUUAAACUCAUGCAUGAAGUGUCAGCACAGCUUUAGGGGCCAAAUAUAGCAUUACCUGAGGGGUUUGUUGUCAUUUUCAUUAUUCUAUUAUGAGCAGAAACCAUGUUCUUUAGCAUCAUAUUAGUUGUUAGCCCACCUAACCACUUGACGGUCACCAUUAUUAAUGCUUAGUAACCUCUCCGCUGUUUACAACAGAACACAUCCUCAAGGCUGGAGGCCUGUUGUUAAGUUUUGUGAGUAUUAAACAUGAAACCUUUUUUCCCCCUUUCCAAGUGCACAACCAACAAAGUGCCAACUUCCCCCCAAGGACUGAGGUUGCUCUCUGUUGGUACUGUUCAACAUUGUUGCAUUUCUAUGACCUGUAUUUUAAAUCUUAUGUAGCUUUAUUUUUUUGCCCUCUUCAUCUACCCAAUAGAGAAUGACACUGUAACAACAUCUAAUUUGUUGCCUGUUUCAUUUGAUAGGUAAUAAAUGAGUGGUGGGUGGAUGGACUGUACUUAAAAACAUGCUUUUGUUAAAUUCUGCUGGGAGGGGCCGACAUACGACAGCCCUAUGUCAACACAUGUUGGUCACGCAGAUUGUGCAUUGAAAUUUCUUUCUUUGCGAACUGUAUUUCUGAAGCAAGUAUUAAGUUUGUGGUUGCAGAGAUUGAUUGUACCAAGUUAUUCAACUCUUGUGAAGGAGGCUUUGUAUUUGUGUAUUUGGGCAUCACUCAUAAUGUAGAAUGUCUAUCGAACAUGAUGAGUUUAAUCACUGAUUGUCCAUCUGAUGGUGACUUGCACUGGCAUGCUAUCUAAUUCUUAAUUCUAUGCUCAAGGAUAUCACAUGUACAUGCUAUCCCACAGUGCUUGGUAGUAAAUUCUCUUGGUUCUUGUCUUUGUAGGCUAAUGCCAGCAUUAGGCGGAUUGGCUCCGGAAUCAAGUCUGAAGAACAAAACAGGCCGCCGCUUAGGUCCAGCUUGAGGAUCCAGGGCAGGAAGAUAGCUCCGUCUAGUGCGAGGCUAUCUAUGGGAGGCAUCUUCAUUACAUUUUCUAGUAAAAUUUGCUGCCUUGGAAGUAGUAUUGCCUAAGAUGGCACGACUUAUCUUGUUUAAAAAGGGAUUUUAAUUCAGCAGGCAUGACAAGGGCAAUGUAAGAUCUUCAUCAGAGUCAAGAGAUCAAAUGCAUGUUAAUUGGUGGUAGGUCUAGUAGGAGCAGGCAAAAUUUUUGGGAAGAAUGUUGAUGCAAGCAACACAGAAAGAUGCAUAUCAGCUCCUUCAACAAGGACGCAUCACCUAAUUUUUUUUGUGCACAUGAGAUUGUUAUUUAUUUCUGCAUAUAAAUUCACUUUGAUUAAUGAACAUGAGGUCCCAUGCAGGACCAUUUAUAUGUGA
Molecule: non-coding RNA, 3993 nt
Organism: Phoenix dactylifera (date palm)
Lineage: Eukaryota; Viridiplantae; Streptophyta; Magnoliopsida; Arecales; Arecaceae
Source: RefSeq, a predicted model, not a curated record